GAGUUUGAUCGUGGCUCAGGAUGAACGCUGGCGGCGUGCCUAAUACAUGCAAGUCGAGCGAACGGACGAGAAGCUUGCUUCUCUGAUGUUAGCGGCGGACGGGUGAGUAACACGUGGAUAACCUACCUAUAAGACUGGGAUAACUUCGGGAAACCGGAGCUAAUACCGGAUAAUAUUUUGAACCGCAUGGUUCAAAAGUGAAAGACGGUCUUGCUGUCACUUAUAGAUGGACCCGCGCUGCAUUAGCUAGUUGGUAAGGUAACGGCUUACCAAGGCAACGAUGCAUAGCCGACCUGAGGGGGUGAUCGGCCACACUGGAACUGAGACACGGUCCAGACUCCUACGGGAGGCAGCAGUAGGGAAUCUUCCGCAAUGGGCGAAAGCCUGACGGAGCAACGCCGCGUGAGUGAUGAAGGUCUUCGGAUCGUAAAACUCUGUUAUUAGGGAAGAACAUAUGUGUAAGUAACUGUGCACAUCUUGACGGUACCUAAUCAGAAAGCCACGGCUAACUACGUGACAG
RNAcentral lists this ribosomal RNA (520 nucleotides) under uncultured microorganism. Its description in RNAcentral is "bacterial SSU rRNA". It matches the Rfam family "Bacterial small subunit ribosomal RNA", at positions 9 to 511 of the family's 1533-position model. The record is from RNAcentral.